RNAcentral lists this ribosomal RNA (271 nucleotides) under Escherichia marmotae. RNAcentral's name for it is "partial 23S ribosomal RNA". It matches the Rfam family "Bacterial large subunit ribosomal RNA", at positions 1629 to 1882 of the family's 2925-position model. Lineage: Bacteria; Pseudomonadati; Pseudomonadota; Gammaproteobacteria; Enterobacterales; Enterobacteriaceae. The record is from RNAcentral.
AGGUAACAUCAAAUCGUACCCCAAACCGACACAGGUGGUCAGGUAGAGAAUACCAAGGCGCUUGAGAGAACUCGGGUGAAGGAACUAGGCAAAAUGGUGCCGUAACUUCGGGAGAAGGCACGCUGAUAUGUAGGUGAAGCGACUUGCUCGUGGAGCUGAAAUCAGUCGAAGAUACCAGCUGGCUGCAACUGUUUAUUAAAAACACAGCACUGUGCAAACACGAAAGUGGACGUAUACGGUGUGACGCCUGCCCGGUGCCGGAAGGUUAAUU